CCUACGGGAGACAGCAGUCGAGAAUCAUUCACAAUGGGGGAAACCCUGAUGGUGCGACGCCGCGUGGGGGAAUGAAGGUCUUCGGAUUGUAACCCCCUGUCAUGUGGGAGCAAAUUAAAAAGAUAGUACCACAAGAGGAAGAGACGGCUAACUCUGUGCCAGCAGCCGCGGUAAUACAGAGGUCUCAAGCGUUGUUCGGAAUCACUGGGCGUAAGGCGUGCGUAGGCUGUUUCGUAAGUCGUGUGUGAAAGGCGCGGGCUCAACCCGCGGACGGCACAUGAUACUGCGAGACUAGAGUAAUGGAGGGGGAACCGGAAUUCUCGGUGUAGCAGUGAAAUGCGUAGAUAUCGAGAGGAACACUCGUGGCGAAGGCGGGUUCCUGGACAUUAACUGACGCUGAGGCACGAAGGCCAGGGGAGCGAAAGGGAUUAGAUACCCCUGUAGUC
This 446-nucleotide ribosomal RNA is filed under the name uncultured bacterium. Its description in RNAcentral is "partial 16S ribosomal RNA". It matches the Rfam family "Bacterial small subunit ribosomal RNA", at positions 338 to 795 of the family's 1533-position model. The record is from RNAcentral.